This 400-nucleotide ribosomal RNA is filed under the name uncultured Methanobacteriales archaeon. RNAcentral describes it as "bacterial SSU rRNA". It matches the Rfam family "Archaeal small subunit ribosomal RNA", at positions 1 to 398 of the family's 1478-position model. Lineage: Archaea; Methanobacteriati; Methanobacteriota; Methanobacteria; Methanobacteriales. The record is from RNAcentral.
UUCUGUUUGAUCCUGGCGGAGGCCACUGCUAUUGGGUUUCGAUUAAGCCAUGCAAGUCGUACGAUCCUUUCGGGGGUCGUGGCAUACGGCUCAGUAACACGUGGAUAACCUAACCUUAGGACUGGGAUAACCCUGGGAAACUGGGGAUAAUACCGGAUAUGUAGAGUUUCCUGGAAUGGUACUCUAUUGAAAUGUAUUCGUGCGCCUAAGGGUGGAUCUGCGGCAGAUUAGGUAGUUGGCGGGGUAAAUGCCCACCAAGCCAGUAAUCUGUACGGGUUGUGAGAGCAAGAGCCCGGAGAUGGAACCUGAGACAAGUUCCAGGCCCUACGGGGCGCAGCAGGCGCGAAACCUCCGCAAUGCACGCAAGUGCGACGGGGGAAACCCAAGUGCCACUCUUAAC